This 1531-nucleotide ribosomal RNA is filed under the name uncultured bacterium. RNAcentral's name for it is "bacterial SSU rRNA". It matches the Rfam family "Bacterial small subunit ribosomal RNA". The record is from RNAcentral.
GACGAACGCUGGCGGCGUGCUUAACACAUGCAAGUCGAACGCUCCUGGAGGUUGGAAGUUAGAGGUUAGAAGUUAGAUUAAGAAGGAAUUCGCCGAAGGCGAAUUCUCACACAAUCUAACAUCUAAUUUCCAACUUCCAACCUCUAAGGGGAGUGGCGGACGGGUGAGUAACGCGUGGGCAAUCUGCCCGUAAGAGGGGGAUAACAUCGGGAAACCGGUGCUAAUACCGCAUAAUAUCUGUUUACCGCAUGGUAGACAGAUUAAAGGAGCAAUCCGCUUACGGAUGAGCCCGCGUCUGAUUAGCCAGUUGGUAGGGUAACGGCCUACCAAGGCGACGAUCAGUAGCCGGCCUGAGAGGGUGACCGGCCACACUGGAACUGAGACACGGUCCAGACUCCUACGGGAGGCAGCAGUGGGGAAUCUUCCGCAAUGGGCGAAAGCCUGACGGAGCAACGCCGCGUGAGCGAAGAAGGCCUUCGGGUUGUAAAGCUCUGUCAUCAGGGAAGAAGAGAGUGACGGUACCUGAGGAGGAAGCCACGGCUAACUACGUGCCAGCAGCCGCGGUAAUACGUAGGUGGCAAGCGUUGUCCGGAAUUACUGGGCGUAAAGAGCGCGUAGGCGGGCGCUUAAGUCAGGUGUGAAAACUGGCAGCUCAACUGCCAGCCUGCCUUUGAGACUGGGCGUCUUGAGGACAGGAGAGGAGAGCGGAAUUCCUAGUGUAGCGGUGAAAUGCGUAGAUAUUAGGAGGAACACCAGUGGCGAAGGCGGCUCUCUGGCCUGUAACUGACGCUGAGGCGCGAAAGCGUGGGGAGCGAACGGGAUUAGAUACCCCGGUAGUCCACGCCGUAAACGAUGGGUACUAGGUGUAGGAGGUAUCGACCCCUUCUGUGCCGUAGUUAACACAAUAAGUACCCCGCCUGGGGAGUACGGCCGCAAGGUUGAAACUCAAAGGAAUUGACGGGGGCCCGCACAAGCGGUGGAGCAUGUGGUUUAAUUCGACGCAACGCGAAGAACCUUACCGACGCUUGACAUGUGAGGAACCCUAGGGAGACCUGGGGGUGCCCGUAAGGGAGCCUCAACACAGGUGCUGCAUGGCUGUCGUCAGCUCGUGUCGUGAGAUGUUGGGUUAAGUCCCGCAACGAGCGCAACCCUUGCCUUUAGUUGCCAGCGGGUUAUGCCGGGCACUCUAGAGGGACUGCCGGUGACAAACCGGAGGAAGGCGGGGAUGACGUCAAGUCCUCAUGGCCCUUAUGCGUCGGGCUACACACAUGCUACAUUGGCCGGUACAGAGGGAAGCCAAGGAGCGAUCUGGAGCCAAUCCCAGAAAGCCGGUCGUAGUUCGGAUUGUAGUCUGCAACUCGACUGCAUGAAGUCGGAAUCGCUAGUAAUCGUGGAUCAGCUACGCCACGGUGAAUACGUUCCCGGGCCUUGUACACACCGCCCGUCACAACCAUGGGAGUGGAGGAUACCCUAAGCAGGUUGCCUAACCGCAAGGAGGGCGCUUAUCACGGUAUGCUUCAUGACUGGGGUG